Molecule: ribosomal RNA, 430 nt
Filed under: uncultured microorganism
Description: bacterial SSU rRNA
Rfam family: Bacterial small subunit ribosomal RNA
Source: RNAcentral
GAGUUUGAUCUUGGCUCAGAUUGAACGCUGGCGGCAUGCCUUACACAUGCAAGUCGAACGGCAGCAUGAUCUAGCUUGCUAGAUUGAUGGCGAGUGGCGAACGGGUGAGUAAUACAUCGGAACGUGCCCUGUAGUGGGGAUAACUAGUCGAAAGAUUAGCUAAUACCGCAUACGACCUGAGGGUGAAAGUGGGGGACCGCAAGGCCUCAUGCUAUAGGAGCGGCCGAUGUCUGAUUAGCUAGUUGGUGGGGUAAAGGCCCACCAAGGCGACGAUCAGUAGCUGGUCUGAGAGGACGAUCAGCCACACUGGGACUGAGACACGGCCCAGACUCCUACGGGAGGCAGCAGUGGGGAAUUUUGGACAAUGGGCGAAAGCCUGAUCCAGCAAUGCCGCGUGUGUGAAGAAGGCCUCGGUUGUAAGUACGACUUU